UAAGGAAUAUUGGACAAUGGAGGCAACUCUGAUCCAGCCAUGCCGCGUGAAGGAAUAAGGCCCUAUGGGUUGUAAACUUCUUUUAGACGGGACAAAACCCCUUUACGUGUAAAGGGUUGAUGGUACUGUCAGAAUAAGCAUCGGCUAACUUCGUGCCAGCAGCCGCGGUAAUACGAAGGAUGCAAGCGUUAUCCGGAAUUAUUGGGUUUAAAGGGUGCGUAGGCGGACUAAUAAGUCAGUGGUGAAAGCCUGCAGCUUAACUGCAGAAUUGCCAUUGAUACUGUUAGUCUUGAGUACAGUUGAGGUAGGUGGAAUGUGUCAUGUAGCGGUGAAAUGCUUAGAUAUGACACAGAACACCGAUUGCGAAGGCAGCUUGCUAAGCUGUAACUGACGCUGAGGCACGAAAGCGUGGGGAGCAAACA
This 422-nucleotide ribosomal RNA is filed under the name uncultured bacterium. RNAcentral's name for it is "bacterial SSU rRNA". It matches the Rfam family "Bacterial small subunit ribosomal RNA", at positions 355 to 774 of the family's 1533-position model. The record is from RNAcentral.